GAUGAAGAACGUAGCGAAAUGCGAUACUUGGUGUGAAUUGCAGAAUCCCGUGAACCAUCGAGUCUUUGAACGCAAGUUGCGCCCGAAGCCAUCAGGUUGAGGGCACGUCUGCCUGGGCGUCACAUACCGUUGCCCAAUGCCUAUUGCAGUGCAAUAGGAAUUUCUAGGGCGAAUGAUGGCUUCCCGUGAGCGUUGUUGCCUCGCGGUUGGUUGAAAAUCGAGUCCUUGGUAGGGUGUGCCAUGGUAGAUGGUGGUCGAGUUAGAACGAUACCGAUCAUGUGCAUGCUCCCCAAAAUAUGGCCUCUAUGACCCACACGCGUCUUUUGACGCUCAUGACGAGACCUCAGGUCAGGCGGGGCUACCCGCUGAAUUUAAGCAUAUCAAUAAGCGGAGGA
Molecule: unclassified non-coding RNA, 395 nt
Filed under: soil metagenome
Description: partial contains 5.8S ribosomal RNA, internal transcribed spacer 2, and large subunit ribosomal RNA
Rfam family: 5.8S ribosomal RNA (bases 1-122)
Source: RNAcentral